Molecule: ribosomal RNA, 484 nt
Filed under: uncultured bacterium
Lineage: Bacteria
Description: partial 16S ribosomal RNA
Rfam family: Bacterial small subunit ribosomal RNA
Source: RNAcentral
UGGGGAAUCUUCCGCAAUGGACGAAAGUCUGACGGAGCAACGCCGCGUGAGUGAAGAAGGUUUUCGGAUCGUAAAACUCUGUCUUUUGGGGCGAACGUGAGUAUGGUGAACAAUCAUAGUCAGUGACGGUACCAAAGGAGGAAGCCACGGCUAACUACGUGCCAGCGGCCGCGGUAAUACGUAGGUGGCAAGCGUUGUCCGGAAUUAUUGGGCGUAAAGAGCGCGUAGGCGGGAUAGUCAGUCUGUUGUAAAGUGCGGGCUCAACCCGUGAUGCAAUGGAACAGCUAUUCUUGAGUGCAGGAGAGGAAAGUGGAAUUCCCAGUGUAGCGGUGAAAUGCGUAGAUAUUGGGAGGAACACCAGUGGCGAAGGCGACUUUCUGGACUGUGUCUGACGCUGAGGCGCGAAAGCCAGGGGGAGCGAACGGGAUUAGAUACCCUGGUAGUCCUGGGCCGUAAACGAUGGGUACUAGGUGUGGGAGGUAUC